RNAcentral lists this ribosomal RNA (497 nucleotides) under uncultured bacterium. RNAcentral's name for it is "partial 16S ribosomal RNA". It matches the Rfam family "Bacterial small subunit ribosomal RNA", at positions 28 to 507 of the family's 1533-position model. The record is from RNAcentral.
GACGAACGCUGGCGGCGUGCCUAAUACAUGCAAGUAGGACGCUGAAGAGAGGAGCUUGCUCUUCUUGGAUGAGUUGCGAACGGGUGAGUAACGCGUAGGUAACCUGCCUUGUAGCGGGGGAUAACUAUUGGAAACGAUAGCUAAUACCGCAUAACAAUGGAUGACACAUGUCAUUUAUUUGAAAGGGGCAAUUGCUCCACUACAAGAUGGACCUGCGUUGUAUUAGCUAGUAGGUGAGGUAACGGCUCACCUAGGCGACGAUACAUAGCCGACCUGAGAGGGUGAUCGGCCACACUGGGACUGAGACACGGCCCAGACUCCUACGGGAGGCAGCAGUAGGGAAUCUUCGGCAAUGGGGGCAACCCUGACCGAGCAACGCCGCGUGAGUGAAGAAGGUUUUCGGAUCGUAAAGCUCUGUUGUAAGUCAAGAACGAGUGUGAGAGUGGAAAGUUCACACUGUGACGGUAGCUGACCAGAAAGGGACGGCUAACUACGUG